Molecule: unclassified non-coding RNA, 372 nt
Filed under: uncultured Gammaproteobacteria bacterium
Lineage: Bacteria; Pseudomonadati; Pseudomonadota; Gammaproteobacteria
Description: contains 16S-23S intergenic spacer region
Source: RNAcentral
UCCGGUUUGUCACCGGCAGUCUCAUUAGAGUGCCCUUGCGUAGCAACUAAUGAUAAGGGUUGCGCUCGUUGCGGGACUUAACCCAACAUCUCACGACACGAGCUGACGACAGCCAUGCAGCACCUGUGUCCAGGCUCUCUUUCGAGCACCCCCGCGUCUCUGCGGGGUUCCUGGCAUGUCAAGGGUAGGUAAGGUUUUUCGCGUUGCAUCGAAUUAAUCCACAUCAUCCACCGCUUGUGCGGGUCCCCGUCAAUUCCUUUGAGUUUUAAUCUUGCGACCGUACUCCCCAGGCGGAUCACUUCACGCGUUAGCUUCGGUACAGGAAAAUCGCUUCUCCAACACCUAGUGAUCAUCGUUUAGGGCGUGGACUAC